CUCAGAUAUUUGAACACCUGAUCAAAAUUUAUUCUGGCUGAGUGUGGUGAUGCAUGCCUAUAAUCUCGGCACUCUGGGAGACUGAGGCAGGAGGAUCACAAGUUCGAGCCCAACUUGGCCAACUUAGUGACUUAGUAAGACACUUCACAGAAAGAAAAAAAAAUAGGAUUUGGGAUGUAGUUCUGUGUGAAGGUCCUGGGUUUAAUUCUCAGUGUGAAAAAACAAUAACAAGUUGUGCGAAACGUGCCAAAUCAGCCUGGGCCCGGCAGCAAUCCACUGGACACCCCCCUCCCCCUGUACAGCCACCUGGUUCCACACUACAAAGACGCAGAGGACACCAGACCACCAGACCACUGUACUGGAAACACAAAACCAAGAGAAUGGUAACCUUGUGGAGAAAGUUUCUUCUCACAUAAAAUGAGGUGACAAAGAGGACAAACAUCAGACUUCUUGUUUGAUGGAAGGACAAGAGGAAUGUGAACAUUGUUCCUAUGACAAAAGAUGGGCAAGCCGGGGAACCAGGAUGAAAUGCAACAAACAAACAAAUAAGAAAGACCGAGUUUUCCUGAUUCAAUCGGCCUAUUUCUUUUACUCAAGAGUCUGUGUGGAAGUGAUAGAUAAUUAUUCUUCCAAACAGUUGCUUUUCACUUCCAUGAUGCAGUGCAGCUGGGACUAGACCGCCCCGUCAAAAAUUCCAUUUUUCAGCAGAACCACAUCCUCAUAAAUGAUGUGAUGGCACUUGUUUUCUACAAUGGCUUAUAAGCAGAACGAGUCACUUCUCACCUCUAGGAAUUAAUCCAGUUCCUCCUGGGUUUAAAGAAUGAAGACAAAGACCACAGCAUCCAAGAAAUGAAACAUUUAUUAAGACUGGGAAAGCUGUUUUUAAGUGAUAUAAUGACAGAUCCAACAGAUACAGUAGAUUCCAUGCUCUUGUGCGUGAUGAGCAAAGAAUUGGACACAUUCAUCCAGAAGCAGAAGAAAAACAACUACAUCUUUUGAAGAUGACGGGGAGAAGUGAGCAGUGUGGUCUGCAUGAACAGAAAAAUGGGGCCAGGACAACGGGGAAGUCAAAAGCACUACAGGGUGGCAGAUAACUGCAUCAUGACAGAAGGAACAAACAGCCUCAUCUUCAAUGGGAGCAGAAAGAAAAAGAUAGGUGAGGCAGAGUCACUCCUCUUAUAACAAUGCUCUUGCAAGAACUGAACGGAUCACACAAGAACUACUUCAUACUUCCACCAACCCAAGGAUAUCACACUAACCCCCAUAUUCCAAAGGUUCCUCCAUUUCCCACUAGCACCACAAGGUGGACCAAGCCUUCAAUCACAGUGGGCCAUUAGGGCCCUGAAACUUACCUUCAAACCAUAACACUUACCAAGACUUCCUGUCUUACCCUCUGUACAUUAAGUUGGGCUACAGCUCCUUGGUAUUUUCUGUGGGCUGGGGCCUGUGCCACGGUCGUUGGAAGGGAGAUACUGUCAUUUUAUAUCAGAGGGAAGUGGGCCU
Molecule: long non-coding RNA, 1503 nt
Filed under: Heterocephalus glaber (naked mole-rat)
Lineage: Eukaryota; Metazoa; Chordata; Mammalia; Rodentia; Bathyergidae
Description: lncRNA (ENSHGLG00100036396.1)
Source: RNAcentral